This 22-nucleotide non-coding RNA is filed under the name Rattus norvegicus (Norway rat). The record is from RNAcentral. Lineage: Eukaryota; Metazoa; Chordata; Mammalia; Rodentia; Muridae.
CAUGAAGUCUGAGGAAAACAGA